UACGUAGGGGGCGAGCGUUGUCCGGAUUUACUGGGCGUAAAGCGCGCGUAGGCGGAAGAUUAAGCGUGGCUUGAAAGCCCCCGGCUCAACCGGGGAAGGUGGCUGCGAACUGGUCUUCUUGAGGGCGAUAGAGGGGGGCGGAAUUCCUGGUGUAGCGGUGAAAUGCGUAGAGAUGUGGAGGAACACCGAUGGCGAAGGCAGCCCCCUGGGCCGACACUGACGCUCAUGCACGAAAGCGUGGGGAGCAAACAGG
RNAcentral lists this ribosomal RNA (253 nucleotides) under uncultured bacterium. Its description in RNAcentral is "partial 16S ribosomal RNA". It matches the Rfam family "Bacterial small subunit ribosomal RNA", at positions 524 to 776 of the family's 1533-position model. The record is from RNAcentral.